AAAAAGACAAACCCUGGAUUUUCGUGUCCAACGUUUGACUGUCCGUCUUAUAUGAAAUUUUUUUAUAAUUAGUAUUUUCAUUGUUGUUAGAUGAUAAAACAUGAUUAAUACUUUAUGCAUGACUUAUCUUUUUAAUUUUUUUCAUAAUUUUUAUAAAUAAGACGGACGGUCAAACGUUGGACAUGAAAAUCCAGGAUUUAUCUUUUU
This is a microRNA precursor of Oryza sativa Japonica Group (Japanese rice), 207 nucleotides long. It matches the Rfam family "MIR812 microRNA precursor family". The record is from Rfam. Lineage: Eukaryota; Viridiplantae; Streptophyta; Magnoliopsida; Poales; Poaceae.